CAGUCGCCGCGGUAAUACAGAGGGUGCGAGCGUUAAUCGGAUUUACUGGGCGUAAAGCGUGCGUAGGCGGCUUUUUAAGUCGGAUGUGAAAUCCCUGAGCUUAACUUAGGAAUUGCAUUCGAUACUGGGAAGCUAGAGUAUGGGAGAGGAUGGUAGAAUUCCAGGUGUAGCGGUGAAAUGCGUAGAGAUCUGGAGGAAUACCGAUGGCGAAGGCAGCCAUCUGGCCUAAUACUGACACUGAGGCACGAAAGCGUGGGGAGCAAACAGGAUUAGAUACCCGGGUAGUCCCUGUCUCUUAUAA
This 301-nucleotide ribosomal RNA is filed under the name uncultured bacterium. RNAcentral describes it as "partial 16S ribosomal RNA". It matches the Rfam family "Bacterial small subunit ribosomal RNA", at positions 509 to 809 of the family's 1533-position model. The record is from RNAcentral.